AUUGACAAUGUCAGUAAAUCUAGUGAACAUACUAGUGAUUGUCUCAUUAGAAUCCAUUUUAAAUAGUUCAUACUUAUGAACCAAUAUAUUAAUCUUGGAUUCUUUAACUUGAUUUGUGCCCUCAUGGGUCACUUCAAGCCUAUCCCAGAUCUCUUUUGCAGAGUUGCAAGUAGAGACCCUAUUGAAUUCAUUUCGGUCUAAGGCACAAUAAAACACAUUCAUAGCUUUAGAGUUUAAUUAUGCCUUCCUCAUGUCAUGUUCAUCCCAAUCCUUUUCUAAUUUGGGUACCUUAACACCCUCUACAUAUGUGGAUGGGAUGUAUGGACCAUUUACUACAAUGGUCCACAUCUCAUAGUCUUGAGCUUGGAUGAAUAUUCUCAUCCUAGCCUUCCAGUAUGAGUAGUCGGAUCCAUUGAAGAAAGGGAGUCUUUGGGUGGACUGACCCUCAAUGUGAGAAGAUCCGAAUGGGGUUGUCAUUUUUGAUCUUUUACUCUUGAGUGGAAGAGUUUAGGCUCUGAUACCACUUGUUGCCCAGAUAGACAACCCAAGAGGGGGGGUGAAUUGGGUUUUAAAAUAAUUUGGAUAAUUAAAACUUAUGGAUGAUUAAUUAAAAACUAAUGCAAGUUAUUUAAUUAAUGCUAAGUGCUGUGAGUGAUGUGAGAGUAAGAAGAAAAGAGCCAAUCAAUCACAAACACAGGGUUUUAUAGUGGUUCGGAGCUAACUCUUGCUCCUACGUCCACUCCCCAAGUCUCACUUGGGAAUUUCACUAUAACCCCCUUGGAUUACAGCCGGUUGUUUUGCAAGCUCACAACCAAACUUGUUGUUUUACGAGCUCACAACGAACUCGGUCGGUUUUCCCAGGCUCACCGACUAGAACCAACCCCGAUUGUUUUUCCGGGCUCACAAUCAAACCCUUACACACGUUGGUUUUAACUUGGCUCACCAACCAACCUUAAUCCCCUUGAUUCAAUCCCCCGAUUGAACCAAG
Molecule: long non-coding RNA, 988 nt
Filed under: Phoenix dactylifera (date palm)
Lineage: Eukaryota; Viridiplantae; Streptophyta; Magnoliopsida; Arecales; Arecaceae
Description: long non-coding RNA (PDAC_LNC001020)
Source: RNAcentral